GGCACGGUGGCUCAGUGGUUAGCACUGUUGCCUCACAACAAGAAGGUCCUGGGUUUGAAUCCUGGCUGUCCCA
RNAcentral lists this transfer RNA (73 nucleotides) under Megalops atlanticus (tarpon). RNAcentral describes it as "tRNA-OTHER". Lineage: Eukaryota; Metazoa; Chordata; Actinopteri; Elopiformes; Megalopidae. The record is from RNAcentral.